UCCACCUAACUGUCAAAACGGGCUUAUAACUUGACCUGAUAUCUUUACGGUCCUUGGCAACGACGCAAUUUCGUCCCAACCCAAGUAGCAACCGAAGCUUUUUUCUCCCAGUUUCAACCCCCUCAUGUCCAAAAACUGCCUUCGCUCACUAUUCCUAUCCCAUUUGUACAUUCUACAAUGUUUGUUGCGUUCUCGCUCAUCAAGGUGUUAGUCAAUUCUCUCUUGCCACACGAAGAGAAUUCUCCUGCACACUUCGUGUGUUUGAUUCUACCCAUCCCUGUUGAACACAAGUCGUUUUCUUCCUUCGCACUCAUCAGGGUGUUUGCUCUUUUCCAUCCAAGCCAAAGAGCGACUUCAGUGUACUCUGAACCGUGGACAUGAGAGUGUGUGUUUUUGUGCUGCGUGAACUAUUUUUCCUGCGUAAAACACUUUCCCGUACUGCACCAUCCGCGGUGUUCUUUUUGCUUUAUCGAAGGACGAAUUGUUAUCAUCUAAUUAUUUCGUUUCAGCUGUGUGCUGCUACCGCUAGCUGUUCUCCAAACCUCUUCAAAUUUCGACACUGUGUGCACAGGCGUUCAAGGUUCAAUCGAUCCUCAAGCACAAAGCCUUCAUACAACACCGCGGUUGAGGCGCGCCAAAUCUGAUGAUAGUAUUCGCAAAGAUUUACUCGCAAAACGGAUGGAAAUGGAAGCCAGGAAGAAUAUUGCCUGAAUUCGGCAAUGUAAUGUACCGUGUUAUGACUGAGGACCAUAAGGUUAUACGAAGCCAUAUCAACCCAAGCCAGUAAGCGUGAUCAACACCUUUUGCCGCUACAUAUUCUCUUGGAUGAGUGGAACCUUCCCAGCUAGCAAAGCCGAAGGCCUUUGUAUGGGAGCCAUCGCGCUCAUCAAGGCUCACUUACCCAAGUAGCAGAGCCGAAGUUGUUGAGAGAUUUUGCUGUGUGCCAAAGCGAGAGGUCCUGUCUUCUCUCUCUAGAUUUUGGACUGCAAACCGCCGCCCGUGUAGAGGUGUGUGCGUGUGACGAAAAACGAUGGAUGAAAAACGCGAGGAGCGGGGACUGAAGUCUUUCGGUGGUCACACACACAUGCAUCUUCCAGCUUAUUGCACUACACCGAGUCUACCCAUCUCUCUCGAUCCACCAUGAUUUUUCUGCUAUCGCGCUCAUCCGAGUGUGAGGCAUCCUCAGUCUGUCCAGCACUUUCCCUGUGGAAAGAUGUACUGAAGUGAGGUGCGAUUUCUUGUGCGACGUACUUUGCUCGUCUACGUUUUGGGCCGUGUUCAGUUCAGUUAUUGAAUGAUUUAUCGUAGCAAAUUGUUGAGGUGUGUGCGCUAUUUAUCAACGACUACAUGCUGGCCUCGUCAACAAUGUUCAAAAUGAGCGACGAAAAGAAAACGUUUUUCAGUUUUAAAAUAUUAAGCGUUCAGCACAAAACUGCCACAAACCAACGCACUGAAUUACGCCAAGAACCUGUCGAAACGCGCGCAGCUCAGCGUCAUUACUUAACAGAAGCCAGUUCAAAACGCGCAGCUCCUGUUCAUGACGUCAUCACUAAACUGAAGCCAGCUGAACACGCGCAGCACGGAUGGUACCCCGAGCGCGGUAGGAGGAAGGAAGAACAAGAGGAGGAUGAACAGUAAAUUUAGAAGGGGGAAAGCGUUCUGCCGUCUACACAGCGGGAGUAUGUCAAAACACAUGUGGGAAGGGAGAGAGAUACUA
This is a long non-coding RNA of Anopheles merus, 1717 nucleotides long. RefSeq lists it as uncharacterized. The record is from RefSeq and is a predicted model, not a curated record. The transcript has 5 exons. NCBI's taxonomy places the organism in Eukaryota, Metazoa, Arthropoda, Insecta, Diptera, Culicidae.